CACCCGUUCCCAUACCGAACACGGAAGUUAAGCUCUUCAGCGCCGAUGGUAGUUGGGGGUCUCCCCCUGUGAGAGUAGGACGCCGCCAAGC
This 91-nucleotide ribosomal RNA is filed under the name Bacillus pumilus. Lineage: Bacteria; Bacillati; Bacillota; Bacilli; Caryophanales; Bacillaceae. The record is from RNAcentral.